AAAUGGAAACGAAACUAAGAAAGCAAUUUAAAACAAUUAAAGGCAACUACUAAAUAAAAUAAAGGUUUAAACCUUCGGAUGGUCCUCAUAUUUGUAUGGAAAUCUCAAGUGGGUCCUCAUAUUUGCAACUGUCUCAAUUAGAUCAUAAUAUUUGUAAAAUUGAGCCAAUUUUGCCCUGUCCGAUAAAUGUUCCCAAACGGUGUUAACAGAUGCUGACAUGUAAUUAUUUUUAAGAGGACAUGUCAUUGUGAUUAAAUUUACUGAGUGACGUGUUUUACCAUCUCAAUUCCACCUAACAUUUAAAGAGGUGUGUCUUCUCCUCCCUCCCCCUCCGCGUCCUCCCCCAUCACUGCUCCAUCGGCGCCACCACUACCAACAACCACCGCCGUCCAACGAAACACCAAAUAUUCAAAAAUUUUCCCCUAUCGCUGGCAACGUCAUAUGGCCCAUGGUUCUUCAAACCCCGUUGUUUAGUAAACCCCAAGCGAUGUCGUUUCAAUGGUGCUUGUAGAAUCGAAGUUGACUUGGACCAUGCGUUGGACAACGCACCUAAAGACUAAUCAGAGUCACGUUGUUUGCUGCCCCAUUUGGAAUCCUCAGAUUCUCUUGCAUCAGAGUUUUUACCUUGAGAUAGUAGUGGCGUGGUGGAUCGGGGGAACUUUCGCUAUCCAAUUUUUUAUCUCUUGCCCAACUAUUUCCCUUUUUGCUAGUGCAAUUGAUGGAUGUCACCGCCUAAUCAAAUUAGAUGUGCAUUUAAAGUGCAGUAUAGCUAGGGAAUGACCCUUAGGUCAUCUCCCAAAGACCAAUUUUGCGAUUCAGAAUCAAGUCAAACACACAGUGGGGGAUUGAAAGUUUUGCAUAUGAGAAUUACACUAAAGUAAAAUGCAUAGAAAUUAAACACAACUCGAAUAGGAUAGAAAGCAUUUUAAAAAAAAAUAAAAUGAAAUAAAAAUCAAAACUCAACCUACAAUUCAAACUAAUUUAAAAUAAAAGAAAAUAAAAUAAAAAUUAUAGUUUAUCUAAAUCCUAAACUACUUUAAAAUAACAGAAAAAAAAAACAUGUUUAUCCAAAUACCAGGACGUGACAUAUGCCUUUAUCCAAAUUGAAAAGGAAUUGAAUGCAUAUUCCUUCAAUCAUCAAUGAGUGCUUACGGCCUGCACCCAAUAUCAAGCAUCAAAAUGAGAUGAAAACUCAAUGUAAC
RNAcentral lists this long non-coding RNA (1202 nucleotides) under Vigna radiata. RNAcentral describes it as "long non-coding RNA (VRAD_LNC011861)". Lineage: Eukaryota; Viridiplantae; Streptophyta; Magnoliopsida; Fabales; Fabaceae. The record is from RNAcentral.